GAUGAACGCUGGCGGCGUGCCUAAUACAUGCAAGUCGAGCGAACGGACGAGAAGCUUGCUUUUCUGAUGUUAGCGGCGGACGGGUGAGUAACACGUGGAUAACCUACCUAUAAGACUGGGAUAACUUCGGGAAACCGGAGCUAAUACCGGAUAAUAUUUUGAACCGCAUGGUUCAAAAGUGAAAGACGGUCUUGCUGUCACUUAUAGAUGGAUCCGCGCUGCAUUAGCUAGUUGGUAAGGUAACGGCUUACCAAGGCAACGAUGCAUAGCCGACCUGAGAGGGUGAUCGGCCACACUGGAACUGAGACACGGUCCAGACUCCUACGGGAGGCAGCAGUAGGGAAUCUUGCGCAAUGGGCGAAAGCCUGACGGAGCAACGCCGCGUGAGUGAUGAAGGUCUUCUGAUCGUAAAACUCUGUUAUUAGGGAAGAACAUAUGUGUAAGUAACUGUGCACAUCUUGACGGUACCUAAUCAGAAAGCCACGGCUAACUACGUG
Molecule: ribosomal RNA, 497 nt
Filed under: uncultured bacterium
Lineage: Bacteria
Description: partial 16S ribosomal RNA
Rfam family: Bacterial small subunit ribosomal RNA
Source: RNAcentral